AGUCGAGCGGUAGAGAGGAGCUUGCUCCUCUUGAGAGCGGCGGACGGGUGAGUAAUGCCUAGGAAUCUGCCUGGUAGUGGGGGAUAACGUUCGGAAACGGACGCUAAUACCGCAUACGUCCUACGGGAGAAAGCAGGGGACCUUCGGGCCUUGCGCUAUCAGAUGAGCCUAGGUCGGAUUAGCUAGUUGGUGAGGUAAUGGCUCACCAAGGCGACGAUCCGUAACUGGUCUGAGAGGAUGAUCAGUCACACUGGAACUGAGACACGGUCCAGACUCCUACGGGAGGCAGCAGUGGGGAAUAUUGGACAAUGGGCGAAAGCCUGAUCCAGCCAUGCCGCGUGUGUGAAGAAGGUCUUCGGAUUGUAAAGCACUUUAAGUUGGGAGGAAGGGCAGUAAAUUAAUACUUUGCUGUUUUGACGUUACCGACAGAAUAAGCACCGGCUAACUCUGUGCCAGCAGCCGCGGUAAUACAGAGGGUGCAAGCGUUAAUCGGAAUUACUGGGCGUAAAGCGCGCGUAGGUGGUUUGUUAAGUUGGAUGUGAAAUCCCCGGGCUCAACCUGGGAACUGCAUUCAAAACUGACUGACUAGAGUAUGGUAGAGGGUGGUGGAAUUUCCUGUGUAGCGGUGAAAUGCGUAGAUAUAGGAAGGAACACCAGUGGCGAAGGCGACCACCUGGACUAAUACUGACACUGAGGUGCGAAAGCGUGGGGAGCAAACAGGAUUAGAUACCCUGGUAGUCCACGCCGUAAACGAUGUCAACUAGCCGUUGGAAGCCUUGAGCUUUUAGUGGUGCAGCUAACGCAUUGAGUUGACCGCCUGCGGAGUACGGCCGCAAGGUUAAACUCAAAUGAAUUGACGGGCGCCCGCACAAGCGGUGGAGCAUGUGGUUUAAAUCGAAGCAACGCGAAGAACCUUACCAGGCCUUGACAUCCAAUGAACUUUCU
RNAcentral lists this ribosomal RNA (945 nucleotides) under uncultured bacterium. RNAcentral's name for it is "bacterial SSU rRNA". It matches the Rfam family "Bacterial small subunit ribosomal RNA", at positions 60 to 1001 of the family's 1533-position model. The record is from RNAcentral.